CCUUUUACAGAGGGAUAGCCCAGAGAAAUUUGGAUUAAUACCUCAUAGUAUUACGACUCGGCAUCGAGAUGUAAUUAAAGUCACAACGGUAAAAGAUGAGCAUGCGUCCCAUUAGCUAGUUGGUAAGGUAACGGCUUACCAAGGCUACGAUGGGUAGGGGUCCUGAGAGGGAGAUCCCCCACACUGGUACUGAGACACGGACCAGACUCCUACGGGAGGCAGCAGUGAGGAAUAUUGGACAAUGGGCGCAAGCCUGAUCCAGCCAUGCCGCGUGCAGGAUGACGGUCCUAUGGAUUGUAAACUGCUUUUAUACGAGAAGAAACACUACUUCGUGAAGAGACUUGACGGUACUGUAAGAAUAAGGAUCGGCUAACUCCGUGCCAGCAGCCGCGGUAAUACGGAGGAUCCAAGCGUUAUCCGGAAUCAUUGGGUUUAAAGGGUCCGUAGGCGGUUUAGUAAGUCAGUGGUGAAAGCCCAUCGCUCAACGGUGGAACGGCCAUUGAUACUGCUAGACUUGAAUUAUUAGGAAGUAACUAGAAUAUGUAGUGUAGCGGUGAAAUGCUUAGAGAUUACAUGGAAUACCAAUUGCGAAGGCAGGUUACUACUAAUGGAUUGACGCUGAUGGACGAAAGCGUGGGUAGCGAACAGGAUUAGAUACCCUGGUAGUCCACGCCGUAAACGAUGGAUACUAGCUGUUGGGAGCAUCUCAGUGGCUAAGCGAAAGUGAUAGUAUCCCACCUGGGGAGUACGUUCGCAAGAAUGAAACUCAAAGGAAUUUGACGGGGGC
RNAcentral lists this ribosomal RNA (787 nucleotides) under Flavobacterium frigidimaris. RNAcentral's name for it is "bacterial SSU rRNA". It matches the Rfam family "Bacterial small subunit ribosomal RNA", at positions 129 to 920 of the family's 1533-position model. Lineage: Bacteria; Pseudomonadati; Bacteroidota; Flavobacteriia; Flavobacteriales; Flavobacteriaceae. The record is from RNAcentral.